RNAcentral lists this ribosomal RNA (431 nucleotides) under uncultured bacterium. RNAcentral's name for it is "partial 16S ribosomal RNA". It matches the Rfam family "Bacterial small subunit ribosomal RNA", at positions 29 to 507 of the family's 1533-position model. The record is from RNAcentral.
AACGAACGCUGGCGGCAGGCCUAACACAUGCAAGUCGAGCGCCCUUUCGGGGGAGCGGCGGACGGGUGAGUAACGCGUGGGAAUAUGCCCUUCUCUACGGAAUAGCCUCGGGAAACUGAGAGUAAUACCGUAUACGCCCUGUGGGGGAAAGAUUUAUCGGGGAAGGAUUAGCCCGCGUUGGAUUAGGUAGUUGGUGGGGUAAUGGCCUACCAAGCCGACGAUCCAUAGCUGGUUUGAGAGGAUGAUCAGUCACACUGGGACUGAGACACGGCCCAGACUCCUACGGGAGGCAGCAGUGGGGAAUCUUAGACAAUGGGGGCAACCCUGAUCUAGCCAUGCCGCGUGAGUGAUGAAGGCCUUAGGGUUGUAAAGCUCUUUCAGCUGGGAAGAUAAUGACGGUACCAGCAGAAGAAGCCCCGGCUAACUCCGUG